Molecule: ribosomal RNA, 504 nt
Filed under: uncultured bacterium
Lineage: Bacteria
Description: partial 16S ribosomal RNA
Rfam family: Bacterial small subunit ribosomal RNA
Source: RNAcentral
GACGAACGCUGGCGGCGUGCCUAAUACAUGCAAGUAGAACGCACAGUUUAUACCGUAGCUUGCUACACCAUAAACUGUGAGUUGCGAACGGGUGAGUAACGCGUAGGUAACCUGCCUGGUAGCGGGGGAUAACUAUUGGAAACGAUAGCUAAUACCGCAUAAUAUUGAUUAUUGCAUGAUAAUUGAUUGAAAGAUGCUAUUGCAUCACUACCAGAUGACCUGCGUUGUAUUAACUAGGAGGUGAGGUAACGGCUCACCUAGGCGACGAUACAUAGCCGACCUGAGAGGGUGAUCGGCCACACUGGGACUGAGACACGGCCCAGACUCCUACGGGAGGCAGCAGUAGGGAAUCUUCGGCAAUGGACGAAAGUCUGACCGAGCAACGCCGCGUGAGUGAAGAAGGGUUUCGGAUCGUAAAGCUCUGUUGUAAGAGAAGAACGGGUGUGAGAGUGGAAAGUUCACACUGUGACGGUAUCUUACCAGAAAGGGACGGCUAACUACGUG